This 510-nucleotide ribosomal RNA is filed under the name uncultured bacterium. RNAcentral's name for it is "bacterial SSU rRNA". It matches the Rfam family "Bacterial small subunit ribosomal RNA", at positions 1 to 526 of the family's 1533-position model. The record is from RNAcentral.
AUUAGAGUUUGAUCAUGGCUCAGAUUGAGCGCUGGCGGCAUGCUUUACACAUGCAAGUCGAACGAUGAAGCCCAGCUUGCUGGGUGGAAGAGUGGCGAACGGGUGAGUAACACGUGAGUAACCUGCCCUUCACUCUGGGAUAAGCGCUGGAAACGGUGUCUAAUACUGGAUACGACCCUUACAGGCAUCUGUUGGGGGUGGAAAGAUUUAUCGGUGAAGGAUGGGCUCGCGGCCUAUCAGGUAGUUGGUGAGGUAACGGCUCACCAAGCCGACGACGGGUAGCCGGCCUGAGAGGGUGACCGGCCACACUGGGACUGAGACACGGCCCAGACUCCUACGGGAGGCAGCAGUGGGGAAUAUUGCACAAUGGGCGAAAGCCUGAUGCAGCAACGCCGCGUGAGGGAUGACGGCCUUCGGGUUGUAAACCUCUUUUAGUAGGGAAGAAGCGAAAGUGACGGUACCUGCAGAAAAAGCACCGGCUAACUACGUGCCAGCAGCCGCGGUAAUAAU